Molecule: long non-coding RNA, 199 nt
Filed under: Lathyrus oleraceus (garden pea)
Lineage: Eukaryota; Viridiplantae; Streptophyta; Magnoliopsida; Fabales; Fabaceae
Description: Pisum sativum (pea) long non-coding RNA (PSAT_LNC019382)
Source: RNAcentral
AAAUAUUUAAGAAUAGGGAUGUUGUAUCUGUCCGAUUUUUUUUACUAAGAUGUUCAAUUAAAAUAUCAUAAUAAUCAUCUUUCUUUAUUAUUAACCAAAAUAUUCAUAUUUUAAAAAAAUAUAACAAAUAGGAGACGUCAUUUAUAGUGAAGCAUGCAUUAAAAAUGCACUACAAUUACAACUACUCUUUACUGCUAAU